GGAGGGGUGGCAGAGUCUGGCUUAUUGCGGCGGUCUUGAAAACCGCUGUGGGGCAACCCACCGGGGGUUCGAAUCCCUCCCCCUCCGCCA
This 90-nucleotide transfer RNA is filed under the name Actinomycetota bacterium. RNAcentral's name for it is "tRNA-Ser". It matches the Rfam family "tRNA". From Rfam's summary of the family: Transfer RNA (tRNA) molecules are approximately 80 nucleotides in length. Their secondary structure includes four short double-helical elements and three loops (D, anti-codon, and T loops). The record is from RNAcentral. Lineage: Bacteria; Bacillati; Actinomycetota.